This is an RNA transcript of Cucurbita maxima (winter squash), 1982 nucleotides long. It is a transcript of the gene named probable serine/threonine-protein kinase PBL19, with no coding region annotated. The transcript has 5 exons. The record is from RefSeq and is a predicted model, not a curated record. NCBI's taxonomy places the organism in Eukaryota, Viridiplantae, Streptophyta, Magnoliopsida, Cucurbitales, Cucurbitaceae.
UCUCCUGAAGAAGAAGAAGAAGAGAAGAAGAUGAUGAUGAUGAUGAUGAUGAAGAUGAAGAAGAAGAAGUCAGAAAAAGAAUGCUCCUCAAAUUUCCUUACACUGUUAGCCAAAUUCUUGAUUGGACUGUCUCAAGUAAGGAACAAGGAAACAAUAAGGGAGUCUCAAUAGCCCCCUUUUUGUCUGUCUUUUUGCUGAGAAGUAAUACCAAACAGGUUUUUUCUCCACCAUUGUCUUCUUUUGUCUCCUUGUUUUCCCCCCAUUUUCUCCUUUUUCUUCUUCUUCACGUUGCUGUUGUUGUUUUUCCCUGUUGGUUUCGAGUUUUUUUGAUCUGUUUACGGAUCCAACAUCGAGAUUCUUCAUGCUGUCUUUCUCUUGUUUUCUCUUCUGUGUUUGCUUGUGUCCAUCUCUAUAAGUUGUGGUGUUUUCAGAUCUUCUUUUGGAGAUCAAUUGCAAAGAGGCUCAAAAUAACAACUUGAGGCAACUGCCAAAUUUCCAGAAGAUUAUAUAGAAAAUGAAGUGCUUCUUCUACUUCAGAAACAAGAACAGGAGUAGGCAUCAAAGAUCGGCACCUGAAUUGAAAGAGCAGCAAGAAUCCGACAUUUCGGGGUGUAGUCGGACAGCUGCUUCUUUGAGCUCCCUGACUUCUCCCCGGAGUGUACCUGAAUUGUAUGAAGAGAAAGCACAUAAUUUGAGAGUUUUCUCAUUUACAGAGCUCAGACAGGCAACACAUGACUUUAACAGGCUUCUUAAGAUCGGGCAAGGGGGGUUUGGGAGUGUCUUCAAAGGCUCAAUUAAGCCUGUUGAUGGGAAAGGAGAACCCCUAGUUGUUGCUAUCAAGCAAUUGAGCAAGGAUGGCUUACAGGGCCACAAGCAAUGGCUGGCUGAAGUUCAAUUUCUUAGUAUUGUGGAGCAUCCAAAUCUUGUCAAACUCAUAGGAUACUGUGCUGUGGAUGGAGAAAGAGGAAUUCAAAGACUUCUUGUUUAUGAGUACAUGCCGAACAGAAGCUUGGAAGAUCAUCUCUUCAACAAGGCGCUACCGGCGCUCGCUUGGAAAACAAGAUUGCAGAUAGUACUUGGUGCAGCUCAGGGAUUGGCUUACCUGCAUGAAGGAUUGGAAAUUCAGAUAAUAUACAGAGAUUUCAAGAGCUCAAAUGUGUUACUAGAUGAGAACUUUCAUCCAAAACUUUCAGAUUUCGGGCUUGCCAGGGAAGGGCCAGAAAUUGGGCAUACUCAUGUUUCGACAGCAGUAAUGGGGACAAAUGGAUAUGCAGCUCCAGAUUACAUAAAGACAGGUCAUCUCACAGCAAAAAGCGAUGUAUGGAGCCUCGGUGUUGUACUUUAUGAGAUUCUGACAGGAAGACGAUCAUUGGAGAGACAUCGGUCGAGACUGGAGCAGAGACUUGUGGAAUGGGUUAAACAUUUCAAUCCUGACAGCAACAGGUUUAGCUUGAUAAUAGAUCCACGGCUUGAAAACCAGUAUCCUAUCAAUGCAGCUAGAAAAGUAGCUAAGUUAGCAGAUACUUGCCUGGCAAAGAAUGCAAAGGAUAGGCCCUCCAUGGCUGAGGUAGUGAACAGAUUGAAGCUGAUCAUCAAAGCUGAGGAUGUCAGCGAACCUUACGCGAAAAGUCCUGAUUCUGUCAAUGACGAACCCGACAUGGAAAGAGAGCCAGAGAAAAUGGAAGCACCGAUGUCGUGGAGAAGGCGAAUGAGCCACCUGCAGAAACUGGGAGAGCAUGUGGAGGGUGCAAGUAGAAGAAGAUUUAUGAUAAUGCAAAGGGCAAAAGUGCCUUAAAAAACUUAGGUUUUUUCUCAUUCAGAAUCAGAUUUUGGUAUAUAGACUAAGCUGCAGUUUUGAAACAUUGAGGCAGAACAUAGGACACAAACUAGAAAGUCUACUGCCGGUGGUGAACAGAAGCUAAUGUAAAUAGUCUAAUUGAGUUAUUUUAUUCUAUUGUUUCAAUGCUUCAGCUUUUGCUCUA